This 274-nucleotide ribosomal RNA is filed under the name uncultured bacterium. RNAcentral describes it as "partial 16S ribosomal RNA". It matches the Rfam family "Bacterial small subunit ribosomal RNA", at positions 523 to 796 of the family's 1533-position model. The record is from RNAcentral.
AUACGGAGGGUGCGAGCGUUAAUCGGAAUUACUGGGCGUAAAGGGUGCGUAGGCGGCUUGAUAAGUCGGAUGUGAAAGCCCCGGGCUUAACCUGGGAAUUGCAUUCGAUACUGUCAGGCUAGAGUAUGUCAGAGGUUGGCGGAAUUCCUGGUGUAGCGGUGAAAUGCGUAGAUAUCAGGAGGAACACCAGUGGCGAAGGCGGCUAACUGGGACAAUACCGACGCUGAGGCACGAAAGCGUGGGGAGCAAACAGGAUUAGAAACCCUGGUAGUCC